RNAcentral lists this ribosomal RNA (433 nucleotides) under uncultured bacterium. Its description in RNAcentral is "partial 16S ribosomal RNA". It matches the Rfam family "Bacterial small subunit ribosomal RNA", at positions 29 to 507 of the family's 1533-position model. The record is from RNAcentral.
AACGAACGCUGGCGGCAUGCCUAACACAUGCAAGUCGAACGAGACCUUCGGGUCUAGUGGCGCACGGGUGCGUAACGCGUGGGAACCUGCCCUUAGGUUCGGAAUAACUCCCCGAAAGGGGUGCUAAUACCGGAUAAUGUCUUCGGACCAAAGAUUUAUCGCCUUUGGAUGGGCCCGCGUUGGAUUAGCUAGUUGGUAGGGUAAAAGCCUACCAAGGCGACGAUCCAUAGCUGGUCUGAGAGGAUGAUCAGCCACACUGGGACUGAGACACGGCCCAGACUCCUUCCGGAGGGCGGCAUGGGGGAUAAUGGAACAUGGGCGAAAGCCUGAUCCAGCAAUGCCGCGUGAGUGAUGAAGGCCUUAGGGUUGUAAAGCUCUUUUACCCGGGAUGAUAAUGACAGUACCGGGAGAAUAAGCUCCGGCUAACUCCGUG